RNAcentral lists this ribosomal RNA (255 nucleotides) under uncultured bacterium. RNAcentral's name for it is "partial 16S ribosomal RNA". It matches the Rfam family "Bacterial small subunit ribosomal RNA", at positions 524 to 776 of the family's 1533-position model. The record is from RNAcentral.
UACGUAGGGGGGCAAGCGUUGUCCGGAUUCAUUGGGCGUAAAGAGCGUGUAGGCGGCCAGGUAGGUCGGUUGUGAAAACUGGAGGCUCAACCUUCAGAGGUCGACCGAAACCAUCUGGCUAGAGUCCGGGAGAGGAGAGUGGAAUUCCUGGUGUAGCGGUGAAAUGCGCAGAUAUCAGGAAGAACACCCGUGGCGAAAGCGGCUCUCUGGAACGGUACUGACGCUGAGACGCGAAAAGCGUGGGGAGCGAACAGG